This 505-nucleotide ribosomal RNA is filed under the name uncultured bacterium. RNAcentral describes it as "partial 16S ribosomal RNA". It matches the Rfam family "Bacterial small subunit ribosomal RNA", at positions 28 to 507 of the family's 1533-position model. The record is from RNAcentral.
GACGAACGCUGGCGGCGUGCCUAAUACAUGCAAGUAGAACGCACAGUUUAUACCGUAGCUUGCUACACCAUAGACUGUGAGUUGCGAACGGGUGAGUAACGCGUAGGUAACCUGCCUGGUAGCGGGGGAUAACUAUUGGAAACGAUAGCUAAUACCGCAUAAUAUUGAUUAUUGCAUGAUAAUUAAUUGAAAGGUGCAAUUGCACCACUACCAGAUGGACCUGCGUUGUAUUAGCUAGUAGGUGAGGUAACGGCUCACCUAGGCGACGAUACAUAGCCGACCUGAGAGGGUGAUCGGCCACACUGGGACUGAGACACGGCCCAGACUCCUACGGGAGGCAGCAGUAGGGGAUCUUCGGCAAUGGACGAAAGUCUGACCGAGCAACGCCGCGUGAGUGAAGAAGGUUUUCGGAUCGUAAAGCUCUGUUGUAAGAGAAGAACGGGUGUGAGAGUGGAAAGUUCACACUGUGACGGUAUCUUACCAGAAAGGGACGGCUAACUACGUG